GAUGAACGCUGGCGGCGUGCCUAAUACAUGCAAGUCGAGCGAACAGGCGAGGAGCUUGCUCCUCUGACGUUAGCGGCGGACGGGUGAGUAACACGUGGAUAACCUACCUAUAAGACUGGGAUAACUUCGGGAAACCGGAGCUAAUACCGGAUAAUAUAUUGAACCGCAUGGUUCAAUAGUGAAAGACGGUUUUGCUGUCACUUAUAGAUGGAUCCGCGCCGCAUUAGCUAGUUGGUAAGGUAGCGGCUUACCAAGGCAACGAUGCGUAGCCGACCUGAGAGGGGGAUCGGCCACAUGGGAACUGAGCCGCGGUCCAGACUCCUACGGGAGGCAGCAGUAGGGAAUCUGCCGCAAUGGGCGAAAGCCUGACGGAGCAACGCCGCGUGAGUGAUGAAGGUCUUCGGAUCGUAAAACUCUGUUAUUAGGGAAGAACAAAUGUGUAAGUAACUAUGCACGUCUUGACGGUACCUAAUCAGAAAGCCACGGCUAACUACGUG
Molecule: ribosomal RNA, 497 nt
Filed under: uncultured bacterium
Lineage: Bacteria
Description: partial 16S ribosomal RNA
Rfam family: Bacterial small subunit ribosomal RNA
Source: RNAcentral